Non-coding RNA from Pelobates cultripes (western spadefoot toad), 104 nucleotides. The record is from the annotation of a GenBank genome assembly. NCBI's taxonomy places the organism in Eukaryota, Metazoa, Chordata, Amphibia, Anura, Pelobatidae.
AUAAAACUUCAUUAAAGUGCCCACAGUGCUCACAAUAUGACAUUACCACCUAGGCACAUAUUCAAUGAAUAGUGAGCACUGUGGGCACUUUAAUGAAGUUUUAU